UGGGUGGUAAGCCGGAUGCUCCGCCCCACCGCAUGGUGGGGUGGGAAAUGCUUUUUGCGGCAUGGGAUGGGGUCGCGUCCUAUCAGCUUGUUGGCGGGGUGAUGGCCCACCAAGGCGUUGACGGGUAGCCGGCCUGAGAGGGUGACCGGCCACAUUGGGACUGAGAUACGGCCCAGACUCCUACGGGAGGCAGCAGUGGGGAAUAUUGCACAAUGGGCGCAAGCCUGAUGCAGCGACGCCGCGUGCGGGAUGGAGGCCUUCGGGUUGUAAACCGCUUUUGUUCAAGGGCAAGGCACGGCUUCGGGCCGUGUUGAGUGGAUUGUUCGAAUAAGCACCGGCUAACUACGUGCCAGCAGCCGCGGUAAUACGUAGGGUGCGAGCGUUAUCCGGAUUUAUUGGGCGUAAAGGGCUCGUAGGCGGUUCGUCGCGUCCGGUGUGAAAGUCCAUCGCCUAACGGUGGAUCUGCGCCGGGUACGGGCGGGACCUGGGUGCGGUAGGGGAGACUGGAAUUCCCGGUGUAACGGC
Molecule: ribosomal RNA, 525 nt
Filed under: uncultured Bifidobacterium sp.
Lineage: Bacteria; Bacillati; Actinomycetota; Actinomycetes; Bifidobacteriales; Bifidobacteriaceae
Description: bacterial SSU rRNA
Rfam family: Bacterial small subunit ribosomal RNA
Source: RNAcentral